This is an RNA transcript of Corylus avellana, 1852 nucleotides long. It is a transcript of the gene named polyprenyltransferase 1, with no coding region annotated. The record is from RefSeq and is a predicted model, not a curated record. Lineage: Eukaryota; Viridiplantae; Streptophyta; Magnoliopsida; Fagales; Betulaceae.
GGUGCCUCAGUGAAGUUCCUCCAAAAAGGAAAAAAAAUUCUGUUUGCAAGGAGGUUUAUGGUUUAUGGUUGAAGCCGAUUCCCGAGAUGGAAGAUCUUCCCUUAGCUUGAAGGACUCAUUCGUUUGUUGAAUGAUUUGUAUUGGUUGUUAACAAUGUCGUGGUUUCGAGUUGCUCGUGCUUCGCGUAGGCUUCAGAGACCUUCUCUCUUUUCCUCCUCACUCUCUCUCUCUCGCUCCAUCUUGAAUCCCUUACGGGCUUCCUCUCACCCAACACCAAACCCUAACCCUGAUUAUCAUAACCCGUUCAGGCAGUACUACCGGUACACUCCCAUUUCCGACUUGUCCCGCGAUAAUUUGAAAUUGGAUUGGUGGGGUUAUAAGUCGGUUGCGCACAUUUCGACGAGCGUGAGGGAGAGUUCGAAUAGUGAGGAGGAUAAGGAUGGAGGGUCUGGACUGCCCAAGGCGGAGGUGUCUUGGAUCGACUUGUAUUUGCCGAAACAAGCUCGCCCUUAUGCUCGUCUCGCUCGCCUCGAUAAGCCCAUUGGGACCUGGCUGCUCGCUUGGCCUUGUAUGUGGUCAAUUACCUUGGCAGCGUCGCCAGGACAUCUCCCCGAUGUUAAGAUGUUGCUGCUUUUUGGUUGUGGGGCUCUGCUUCUAAGGGGUGCUGGAUGUACCGUAAAUGACCUCCUUGAUCGUGAUAUUGAUACCAUGGUGGAACGUACAAAGUUGCGACCAGUUGCAAGUGGUCUUUUGUCACCAUUUCAAGGGCUUUGUUUUCUUGGGUUUCAAUUGCUUUUGGGUCUUGGGAUUCUGCUUCAAUUAAAUAAUUAUAGCCGUAUUUUGGGGGCUUCAUCCUUGUUGCUAGUCUUCUCCUAUCCACUGAUGAAGAGGUUGACAUUUUGGCCUCAAGCCUAUCUAGGUCUGACCUUUAACUGGGGUGCUUUAUUAGGGUGGGCUGCAGUUAAAGGAAGUCUGGAUCCAGCUAUAGUGUUUCCAUUGUACAUUUCUGGAGUAUUUUGGACUCUUGUGUAUGAUACGAUAUAUGCACAUCAGGAUAAAGAAGAUGAUUUGAAGGUGGGUGUUAAAUCUACAGCUUUGAGAUUUGGAGAUUCGACUAAGCAGUGGAUUACUGGGUUUGGAAUUGCAUGCAUUAGUAGUCUUGCCCUCAGUGGAUUUAAUGCUGGGCUCGGGUCGCCAUAUUAUGCAUUUCUGGCAGCUGCAUCUGGACAAUUAGCUUGGCAGAUACGGACAGCUGAUCUAUCAUCCCGUGCUGAUUGCAAUCGAAAAUUUGUGUCCAACAAGUGGUUCGGUGCAAUUAUUUUCAGUGGGAUCUUAUUUGGAAGGCUUUCGUCAUAGUGGUACGGUUACCAUUUCUAGAACAGAUGAGACAUGACAGAUUACAAACCCGAGUAUUCCCAGCUCAUGUCACCGUGAUUACAUGAUUCCAUUGAUUAAUGUCCUUUUUGAGGCAUCACUUGUGGAAAAGAAGGCUUCCAGAUUGAACAAGGAUGAAGGGCUGAUUGGUGUGGGGGUGUUGGCCUUUUAUUAAAUAACUGGCUUUGAAGGCAAUGCUCUUGUAUUUCUCAUAUUAUUUGCUAGAGGUUGGUUUUGUGUGGUUUUUUUUUUUUUUUUUAAUCAGUAGUUUGAUGUUUCUGUUGAGGAUAGGAUUAAUGUUAUUGUAAUACCCUUUCCUUUUAGAGUAUGGAUUUUGUUGUAAGAGUCGUUUUUGCAGAAAAACACAGAUAAAGGGGUAAAAGUUGUACCUUAACAUUAUUUUUCCUAUUACAUGGUUAAGGAGGUUCAAUCCAACAAACCUCCACGUUUUUGUUUUGUUCUCGAAAGAUUAGUACAU